UGGGCAAUCUGCCCUGCACUCUGGGACAAGCCCUGGAAACGGGGUCUAAUACCGGAUACUGAUCAUCUUGGGCAUCCAAGGUGUUCGAAAGCUCCGGCGGUGCAGGAUGAGCCCGCGGCCUAUCAGCUUGUUGGUGAGGUAAUGGCUCACCAAGGCGACGACGGGUAGCCGGCCUGAGAGGGCGACCGGCCACACUGGGACUGAGACACGGCCCAGACUCCUACGGGAGGCAGCAGUGGGGAAUAUUGCACAAUGGGCGAAAGCCUGAUGCAGCGACGCCGCGUGAGGGAUGACGGCCUUCGGGUUGUAAACCUCUUUCAGCAGGGAAGAAGCGAAAGUGACGGUACCUGCAGAAGAAGCGCCGGCUAACUACGUGCCAGCAGCCGCGGUAAUACGUAGGGCGCGAGCGUUGUCCGGAAUUAUUGGGCGUAAAGAGCUCGUAGGCGGCUUGUCGCGUCGGUUGUGAAAGCCCGGGGCUUAACCCCGGGUCUGCAGUCGAUACGGGCAGGCUAGAGUUCGGUAGGGGAGAUCGGAAUUCCUGGUGUAGCGGUGAAAUGCGCAGAUAUCAGGAGGAACACCGGUGGCGAAGGCGGAUCUCUGGGCCGAUACUGACGCUGAGGAGCGAAAGCGU
Molecule: ribosomal RNA, 631 nt
Filed under: Streptomyces sp. EGI80152
Lineage: Bacteria; Bacillati; Actinomycetota; Actinomycetes; Kitasatosporales; Streptomycetaceae
Description: bacterial SSU rRNA
Rfam family: Bacterial small subunit ribosomal RNA
Source: RNAcentral